Molecule: ribosomal RNA, 2158 nt
Filed under: Triticum aestivum (bread wheat)
Lineage: Eukaryota; Viridiplantae; Streptophyta; Magnoliopsida; Poales; Poaceae
Description: partial small subunit ribosomal RNA
Source: RNAcentral
CUGUACGCACGCGCGAUGCGUCUCGCCGCCGCCGCCGCCGUCCUCCGCCCCGUGCUCUGCCUCCUCCCCUUUAGUCGCCCACCCGCCACGCCGCCUUCUCCUCUACCGUUCCUCUCCCUUCGCCGUGCUCGGGAGGAGAGCGACAGGCGGACUGGUGCAUCCCCAACGACGGGAGAAGCACAGGAACCGCCGCCUCCGGCGAGGCGCUCCUGCGCGACCAGUUCAAGACGAUCCUGCAGAAGGUCGACGAGAAGGGCGCGCCGCCACCGUCAGCAGGCCGGUCAGCAUCCACGCGCUACUCGGCGUCGUGAGGUCGCCGGCACAGCUCCUCGCGCCCACGCCGUUCAAACAUGCCACGACCUGCCCUUCUCCGGUGCACUUGGCAGCCGCAGAUGCUCCACCUCCUCCGCCUCAGCCCUCAACUCGUCGGGUGGCCUGAGGGGAGCGAUGCCUAGGCCGUUCUCUUCCUCACCACGCGGCGCCGGGAGGAUCCACAAGAGGGGGAGCGGCAACAAAUCGCGACGGAGGAGCAUGGGCUGCAAAUUCGUAUGAAGAUGGCGAACCGUUUGUGUUGCCAGGAGAUGGAUGCCGUCUCACCCUCCAUGGCGCUCAAUAGGAGGAGCAGGAGGUGUCAUCGGACAGAUUUGUGAGUUUGGUGCUAGACAUGGGACGUGCUUGGUCGUGUCCUUUCUUCGACUAGGCACCUUGGCGACCACUUGAGCAGCAGUGCAGCACCGUGCUCCAGUGAUCAGACUCCCCUUACAUGAUUCAUAUUUUUCUAUCAGCUUUUACUAUAUAUGUUCUUCAGUGGAUCAGCUGCAUCAGACUGUAGGCACUGCUGAGCGCAAAGCUGUACAUACCUGUGCAUAAAUGUUUUUGUCCGUGCAACCACGAAACAAAAAAGUCAAUCUUGAUUGUUUUUAAUUAGUAUUAUAUAUGUAUCUAAAUUUUGUAAUAUUUUCGUCACUUUUCGCUGGUUGGUGAUACACUUUGUUCAUGUUACCGGUGGAAAUAGGAAUGGUUUUCUUACUGUAUUGACAGAGCAAAGAAUUUUGCCUGUGAAUCUCAUAUUGUUGGAAGGGUCCUACAAGUGAUGAAUUGUCUAUUUGCCAGUUGCCACAUUGAUGCCCCAGGUAUGUCCCAAGUGAACUGGGUUAUUGCGACGAUUUGGUCGAUUCAGUCUUCUUUUUAUCUUGAAUGGCUUUCACCUUUGGGAAAUUCAAGUGAUGGAAGUGUUUCAGUGAUAUUGAAGCUCUUUUAGAUACUACUACGAUACUAUGGCAGCCAAGGUGUUCUUCGGCUGAAAUUAGGUUGCUCCUGCCAUGUCUAUCAGUGAAAUGCCUCCUUCCAUGAUAAAGCAGCCUACUCUUAGCAUUAUGCAGAACAAUUAUUAUGCGUCCAUCAAUGAUAACAGUGAUACCUGAUUGAAGAUUAGGUGGUCUACAAUCCUCCAGCUCUCCAAAACUAUAUCUCAAGCCCAUCAACUCCGAAAAUUAAAGGUCGCCACCAUGCCGUCUCUCUCUCUGGCCGCCCUUCACAUCGUCUUGGUUUGCUGGUUGCCACUAUGUCUCCUGCCGUUUCGCCCGCCGCCAUCGCUGGAAGGGUUGUGUAGGCCGUCGCCUAUGCCACUACUAUGCAGUGACCAGUGAGGGCCAUGGCAUCGAGACAGACCAAAAGGGAAACACCACCGGCCACAGCGCCGGUAGAGGCCUCCCUGUCUGCGCCGGUGACUGGAUAACAUCGCCGCCGCCACUGUCGUUGUCUUUGUUGCUUCUCAGCAGGCAUUUGAUUAACUCAAAGGCAACAGGAAGGCACGACGGUGAUCAAGGUUAUGUACGCCGAGUAGUGUCUUUUGUCUACCAUACCGUAUGAAAAUAGAUCAAGAUGAGCCAACUUAGUCACGUACUAUGUUUCUAUAAGGGGAACAUAUCUGGUCUAUAUCCGAAUCUAUGAACUAUUAUAUGGAUGAUGUCGAGUUAUGUCUAUAUAGUCAUAUGCUUAUAUAAGCUCAAUGUAUCCUUUGUACUGUUCUUCUUUGACUUGGCACUUCUGUUCAUUUUCAGAUAAAUUUUCAUGUGACUACCAAUGUCAUAAACCAGAAUUCUCUUUCUGAGGAUGCUUAUGUAUGAACUGUAUCAUACUCCCUCCGUUCCUAAAU